AUAAGUGUCGUUCAUUUUCUGACAAUCAGACCAGCAAGUGAGAUACUCUGGACUCCCAACAGGUUGACAUAAACAUGAAAGUAGUUCUAGCAGUGAUCAUUUCACUCAUAUGUGAAAUCAGACCAGUCCAAUCCAAUAAUGGCAACACCAGUGUGGAGCUUAACACAAGGACAUUCUACAGAGCAGUGCACUUCUAUGCUGCACACCCAGCAUCAAUCUCUGGAAGCCUCAACCCAAUCCGUUUCAGUGACGUCACCCUGAAUGAGGGCUUUGCAUUCAGCGGGUCCUCAGGCAUCUUCACUGCUCCAGUGCAUGGAAUCUACCAGUUUUUCUUCUCAUUCCAGAGUGGCAGAAACAACCCAAACAAUGCCUGGCAUCUGCGGGUUAAUGGUGUGGCUAAGGUUGUGUGCCAUUCUCAAGUUAGUGAAAAAUCCACUGUAGGUAGUAUGUGCACCUACAUGACUGAGCUGGCACAGAACGAUCAAGUCACUGUGAGCCAAACCUCAGGGUCUGCCUGGGCCACUGCUACUUCACGCACUAUUACCUUCUCUGGCUCGUUGCUGAUGCAGAAAUUUUAAGUGUCAUCAACUGCAAGAAAUGUAGCACAUACUGUACAACAAGUCAAUAGCUGUCAUUGUUAAAGCAACAAAAUGUACCAAUUCUCCCUUCAAAAUAAUGGCUUCAAAUGAAUUCUGAUGGUGCAUUGACUGCAAUAACAGGGAGAGUGUCUCUGUUGUGGUCACUGCAGGCCUGAAACACAAUUUAAUAUCUUGUGUAAUAUUGUUCUUUUUGUUAAUGUUGUUGUUGUUGUUGUUGUUGCUUGUUAAUGUUUUGGUGGGUUGGUUCUGUUUCUGUUCUAGGUUAGUUUGUACUGUAUGCCUCUUUUUUUACCUAGCAUGGAGCCGACUGUAACAUUUCACUGCAUUAUAUGUAUGUGACAAAUAAAAUCUGCUGCAUUUG
Molecule: long non-coding RNA, 960 nt
Organism: Sardina pilchardus (European sardine)
Lineage: Eukaryota; Metazoa; Chordata; Actinopteri; Clupeiformes; Clupeidae
Exons: 4
Source: RefSeq, a predicted model, not a curated record